UACGUAGGGCGCGAGCGUUGUCCGGAAUUAUUGGGCGUAAAGAGCUCGUAGGCGGCCUGUUGCGUCCGCUGUGAAAUCCCAGGGCUCAACCCUGGGCGUGCAGUGGAUACGGGCAGGCUGGAGGCAGGCAGGGGAGAACGGAAUUCCCGGUGUAGCGGUGAAAUGCGCAGAUAUCGGGAGGAACACCAAUGGCGAAGGCAGCUCGCUGGGACGUGACUGACACUGAGACGCGAAAGCGUGGGGAGCAAACAGG
RNAcentral lists this ribosomal RNA (253 nucleotides) under uncultured bacterium. RNAcentral's name for it is "partial 16S ribosomal RNA". It matches the Rfam family "Bacterial small subunit ribosomal RNA", at positions 524 to 776 of the family's 1533-position model. The record is from RNAcentral.